This 169-nucleotide ribosomal RNA is filed under the name uncultured Clostridium sp. RNAcentral describes it as "partial 16S ribosomal RNA". It matches the Rfam family "Bacterial small subunit ribosomal RNA", at positions 338 to 524 of the family's 1533-position model. The record is from RNAcentral. Lineage: Bacteria; Bacillati; Bacillota; Clostridia; Eubacteriales; Clostridiaceae.
CCUACGGGAGGCAGCAGUGGGGAAUAUCGCACAAUGGGCGAAAGCCUGAUGCAGCAACGCCGCGUGAGUGAUGAAGGCCUCCGGGUUGUAAAGCUCUGUCUUUUGGGACGAUAAUGACGGUACCAAAGGAGGAAGCCACGGCUAACUACGUGCCAGCAGCCGCGGUAAU